RNA transcript from Topomyia yanbarensis, 14099 nucleotides. RefSeq lists it as uncharacterized. Lineage: Eukaryota; Metazoa; Arthropoda; Insecta; Diptera; Culicidae. The transcript is spliced from 3 exons. The record is from RefSeq and is a predicted model, not a curated record.
UCAAAGUUUCAUGUUUACAUAACUGUAAGCACCGCAGGGCAUAUUGGGCAUACCUGUUGUAGCACUACCUUGGGCCAACGCUUAGUCGAUCGCUGGACAAAAACAUAGCUGUCAAAGGGUAGCAUAGAGAAGGAAGAAAAAAGGUAAACAAGAAAAAGUGAGUCGAGAGGAUUAAAGUUAUUUGCAAGUGAAAAUUACUAAUAAUUUCAGUGGAUUGAAACAGUUUAUUGGCAGUGCAUUAAAGUUACAUUGUAAGUAAACAAUUCGAAUGUAAUUGAAGAUCUAUCUAACUAUCGCGGCAAAUUAGGCCCUACAGGUGAAUUACAUUCAGCCGCGUGCAAUUCGUCAGUGCCUGAAAGGAAAUACUUACCGUAGGAUUGGUGUAGAUUGAGCCCGUUAUCUGUGAGUAAAAAAGUAAACAAAACAGGAAAAUUAAGCUGUUAACUUAUAUUACUGAUUUGAACAUAGGAGUCGGUGUCGUAAGUCGAGGAAGGUUGAGACAUCAGGAUUAAUUUGGAGAGAAACUAUUCAUUUUUAAGCUGCGCGAAUACGGCUGCUAUAAAAAAGGUUUGUGAUUAAUCCGAACAAACUUAAAAAUGAAUAAAGCUGUUUUUAACCUAAACGACACCGAGGUAACUGGCUACAACUGUGCGGUCUGCAACCGGCCGGAUCAUGCCGAGGAUGAAAUGGUCGCCUGCGACUGUUGCCGAAGAUGGUUUCACUUUGGAUGUGCCGAAGUUGGAAGCGAGGUAGGUGAUAUUUCUUGGAGCUGUCCAGAAUGCAAAAGCAAGCCGAAUGAUGGAAAUGCGGAAGACAGUGGCAAACUUGUGCCAGCCGCAGAUAACGAUAAAGCAGGAAGCGGGGGAACGUAUAAACCAGUCGUUAAUCCUGCUACAGUUCCGGAUGAGGUUUUGCAGAGUUUACCCGAGAAAACAGGCACAUUAUCGUUCCAGGAGUUAGAGCUGCAGAAGAUAGAGGCAUCUCGUAAAAGGCAGGAAGAACAUAUGGAGAUGGAAAGGGUCUUAUAUAAGCGACGGCUGGAAGUACAACGAGAGCUGUUUGAAAAGAGACAGCAGAUAGAGCGUGAAAAGCGGCGGAUGGAACUCGAGUUCGAAAGGCAGAGUCUGCAAAUGGCGAUUGCAGAAGAAGAAGAGCAUCAUAAGCAGCAACAGCAGAUUAGAGCCGAACUGACUCGCAAGUUAGAACAGCUGCGAAUGAGGCGGGUAGCAAAUUCACCGGAAGGGAUUCAAGCCAUAUGCGAAUUAGAGAAGCCUGGAGAGGCCUUUGAUGCAAAAGCAACCACGAAUGACGAAAAUCACCCGGGUAACAAACAGCUGGGUGAUAUUCGGGGAACGUACCACAAACAUUCGACCCCAAAGCAACCCGGGCAACGUCCACCGUUGCAAAUAAGUCAUUCGAAGGAAUCGGAACCUACUGAACGUCAGGGGACACUGAAUACAAAGCAAAACACGCCAGCACAAUCUGUAGGAAGCCAUUCAAAUCUGGAUGAUGUUUCGGAGUCAGAAGCGGAGAGCGAGUGCUCCAUACGAUCACGAUCACAGCGAGACACUCGCCGGGAAAGGGGCCCAACGAGAGCCCAGUUGUCGGCCAGGCAGUUUUUAGCCAAGAAGCUUCCUACAUUUACCGGGCGGCCAGAAGAUUGGCCGAUGUUUAUCUCAAGUUUCGAGACAGCAAAUCAAGCUUGUGGGUUCUCUAACGUCGAAAACCUAGGACGGUUGCAAGAGAGCUUGAAAGGUCAAGCAUUAGAAGCAGUCCGAAGUCGCCUGCUAUGGCCAGAUGCCGUGCCUCAGAUCAUCGAAUCUCUUCGGAUGCUGUACGGACGGCCCGAGCAAUUAUUGAAUAUGCUGUUGGUCAAAGUUCGGAAGGCGGAACCACCCAAGACCGAUCGUUUGGCGACCUACAUUGGUUUCGGUAUGACGGUGCAGCAACUCGUCGAUCAUUUGGAAGCAAGUGAUCUAAAAGACCACUUGGUAAACCCUAUGCUGAUCCAAGAGUUGGUAGAAAAACUACCAGCUAGUACAAAAAUGGAGUGGGUGCGCUACAAACGAAGGAAGCACCGCGUAACUCUUCGAACAUUAUCCGAUUUUCUGUCGGAGAUUGUGAGGGAUGCCAGCGAGGCCACGUUGUACUGCGGAGGAUUUUCGCAACUUGAAAGUAACCCAAGAAGCGGGAAGGGUAAACUGAAAGAGCGCGAAGAGUUCUUAAAUGCUCAUUGCGCAUCCGAAACUGAUAAUCGGCGCGAGGUAGAAGGAAAGAAGCCGUGAAAAAUCUGCUCUCGGUCAGAUCACCGCAUCCGUAACUGCCCCGAAUUUCGUAAAUUAAAUCUGGCGAUGCGCUGGGAGGCGGUACGAAAAUGGAGUCUGUGUAAAAAUUGUUUGAAUGAUCACGGAGAUUCUCUUUGCAAACUCAGUUUUCGUUGCAAUGUCGGCAGCUGCAGUGAAUCGCACAAUCCGCUUCUACACCCGGAAGAAGCUUACGCUGAUUGCAAUGUGCAUCGAUUCCAGCAGAAAUCGGUGAUCUUUCGCACGGUCCCAGUAACACUCUACAAUGGGAAGUAUGCGAUAGAUACGAUAGCUUUCCUCGACGAAGGUUCCUCAUACACGCUGGUUGAGAAUGUUUUGACGAAACUGUUGAAGACGAAAGGUGUUGUUCAACCGCUUCGUGUAACAUGGACGGCAGGCGUUUCUCGGGUGGAAAAAGACUCACAGAGGUUGAAUUUGUCGAUUUCAGCUCGAGGUUCCACCCAGCGCUUCCAGAUUCAGGACGCACACACUGUAGAGGAGCUGAAAUUGCCGAAACAGACGCUGGAUUUGAAAGAAGUUGCAAAUCAGUAUGUGCAUCUUCGAGACUUGCCAGUACCGGAUAGUAAACACAGCGUUCCUCGAAUAUUAAUUGGGUUAAAAGACCUUCACCUGUACACUCCACUCGAGACUCGAGUUGGACGCCCCGAUGAGCCCAUAGCGGUCAAAUCGAAGCUAGGUUGGACGGUAUAUGGUCCGAUACGGAGCGCCGAUUUGAAAGAAGAGUUUGUUGGUCAUCAUUCUUGUGGUGGCGUUUCCAAUCAAGAGUUGCACGACUUACUGAAAGAGCAUUAUGCGUUGGAAGAGGCAGGAGUUACUGCAGCACUACUGCCGGAAUCGUCCGAAGACCGGAGAGCGAGAGAAAUUUUGGAUAGCACAACGGUUAGGAUCGGUGAUCGCUUUGAGACGGGGUUGUUGUGGAUAGUGGACGAACCCAGUUUUCCAGACAGCUAUGCCAUGGCCCUGAGACGGAUGAAGGGACUUGAAAAGCGACUUCUAAAAGACGAAAUUCUGUACAACAGGGUGCGAAGCACAAUAGCUGAUUAUCUGACGAAAGGAUAUGCUCACAAAGCGACGUUCCAAGAAUUGCAUGAACAUCCAGCCUCCAAGGUGUGGUAUUUGCCAUUAAACAUCGUGAUAAACCCCAGGAAGCCGGAGAAACUCCGUCUAGUGUGGGACGCAGCAGCAGCUGUUGGUGGAGUCUCGUUAAAUUCCCAGUUGCUUACCGGACCAGACAUGCUGACAUCUCUACCGUCCGUUAUUUGUCGUUUUCGGGAACGAGAGGUCGGGUUCGGAGGUGAUAUAAAAGAAAUGUAUCACCAACUGCGCAUCAGAAAAGAGGACCAGCAAGCUCAGCGAUUCUUGUUUAGAAAUGAUCCUUGCGCGCGUCCUGAGGUAUAUGUUAUGAAUGUUGCUACAUUUGGAUCAACCUGUUCCCCAUGUUCCGCUCAAUUUGUGAAAAACAAGAACGCAGACGAAUUCUUCUCACAGUAUCCAGAGGCGUCGAGGGCCAUAGUAGACAACCACUAUGUCGAUGACUAUUUUGACUGCACUGAUACUGUGGGAGAAGCGAUAAAACGAGCCAAAGACGUUCGUUAUAUUCACUCUCGAGGCGGCUUCGACAUCCGAAAUUGGGUGGCUAGUUCAAAUGACGUCUUACGGGCGCUAGGUGAAGCAAAGACGGAACAGCAAGUUCAUUUCCAUCAAGACAAACAUACGGGGACUGAGCGAGUUCUAGGUAUUGUAUGGAAUCCGAAGAGCGACGAGCUUUGUUUUUCUACGAGGUUGCGUGACGAACUGAUACCUUUCAUAAGUGGUGAACGAUGGCCAACUAAAAGAGCGGUACUGAGUUGCGUGAUGAGCUUUUUCGAUCCGCUAGGCCUGCUCGCUCCAUUCACCAUCUACGGAAAGAUGCUGAUACAGGACCUCUGGCGAAGAGGCUGCGAGUGGGAUGAGGAGAUAGACGAGGAAUCGAUGAUGAAGUGGAGAAAUUGGAUUGAGCGGCUGCCGGAAAUCGAAAGAAUCAGGAUGCCUCGGUAUCACUUCGUGAAAGGGCAGGCGCCGGACUACAGUACUCUACAACUGCACGUAUUUGUAGAUGCUAGCUCGAACGCAUACGGCUGCGUUGCAUAUUUCCGGAUUUUGAUAGCUGGAAAACCGCACUGUUCACUUGUAAUGGCGAAGUCAAAGGUAGCUCCGUUAAAGCAACUGACGAUCCCGCGCCUAGAAUUACAAGGGGCGGUUCUGGGAUCAAGGCUGAUGAACACCAUUAUGGAAACUCAUUCACUGCCCAUUAAGCAGCGGUUUAUUUGGACGGACUCUAGAACUGUUCUUUCCUGGAUUCACUCCGAUCAGCGAAAAUAUAAACAAUUUGUCGCGUUUCGGAUUGGAGAGAUCCAUACCCUUUCAAAACAGUGCGAGUGGCGCUGGUUACCUACUAAGCACAACGUGGCAGAUGACGUUACUAAGUGGCAUGCGGGACGGCGAUUUGAAUCCGAUACUCCAUAGUUCCAGGGAGCAACAAUCUUAAAUCAGUUCGAAGAAACAUGGCAGCAGCAACCACAAGUAGUACCGAACGUGUUGGAGGAAAUUCGGGCCGUUCAUUUGUUUCAUGACGUUUUAGUCCUGAAGCAAAUCGUCGAUCCUCUCCGCUUCUCUAAAUGGAAGGUUCUAGUUCGGACUGUGGCAUGUGCAUAUCGUUUCAUUUAUAACUGUCAGCGAAAGGUUGCAAAGCUGAGUAUCGAAGCACUUCCAGUAACAGAAAAGGUGAAGAAACUCGCGAAAGUGCAUCACUCUGUUGUCGCAGUACCAAUAAAGCGUGAGGAAUACCAGAAGGCUGAAUCCUACCUAUGGCGAGUGGCCCAAGCAGAGGUGUACGAAGAGGAGGUGAAGAUACUCAUGAAAAAUCAACAACUUACUCAUACAGACCAUUAUCGACUAGAGAAAGAUAGCCAACUUUACGACAAGUCUCCCUUCUUGGACGAUAGUAACGUAAUAAGAAUGGAGGGAAGGACAAAAAAUGCUCCAUUCGUUCCGUUUGAGUUACGCUGUCCAAUCAUUCUACCGAAGGGACAUCGCAUAACUACGUUGCUAGUGGAAUAUUUCCAUCAGAAAAUGGGUCACGCGAACACCGAAACGGUUGUAAAUGAGAUGCGACAGCGGUUCUGUAUAAAGCAUCUCAGAGCAAAGCUGAAGCGCGUAGUAAAACUAUGUGUACGUUGUAAGAUCAGGAAGAGCAGCCCAGUAAUCCCAAGAAUGGCACCACUUCCGGUUCAGCGUAUUACGCCCUACAAGCGGCCGUUCAGUUUUACAGGCAUCGACUAUUUCGGGCCAGUGCAAGUGACAGUAGGACGUCGAACGGAAAAACGUUGGAUCGCCUUGUUUACAUGCUUAACGACGAGGGCAGUGCAUCUUGAAGUCGCUCACAGUCUAACGACGCAAGCAUGCGUUAUGGCGAUAAGACGGUUUACCUGCCGGCGGGGAGCUCCACUAGAAAUCUUUUCAGACAAUGGUACAAAUUUUAAAGGUGCGAGUAAGGAGGUUGUGAAACGGAUAUAUGCAGAUUGCGAUGAGACGUUCACCGAUGCUACUACUAGGUGGAAUUUCAAUCCACCCUCAGCACCCCAUAUGGGCGGGGCGUGGGAACGAUUGGUACGCUCGGUGAAGGCAGCUCUCAGUGAGCUAGAUGAUGGGCGGAAGUUGACGGAUGAAAUUCUUCUUACCACGUUGGCGGAAGCAGAAGAUCUUGUAAACUCACGACCGUUGACGUAUAUCCCUAUAGAGUUAGGAGCGGAAGCAGCACUAACCCCAAAUCAUUUCCUGCGCUCUUCUGUGGCGGGUGAUGUAACACAGUCGAUUCGAAAAAGCGAUCAAGCUCAAGCGUUGCGUGACUCGUAUAAGCGAUCACAACAUUUGGCAGACCAGAUUUGGAAGCGCUGGAUCUCGGAAUACUUGCCAACACUGAACCAGCGAAGCAAGUGGCAUGACGAAUCAGAUCCGGUUGAAGUAGGCGAUAUAGUGUACAUUGUGGACGAGAACAGUCGUAAAGGCUGGGUUCGUGGGAUCGUUACUACCGUCUUCAAGUCGAAGGAUGGCCGGAUUAGGCAGGCAUUGGUAAGAACAACAAAAGGUGAGAUGAAAAGACCGGUGGCUAAGUUGGCGGUGCUUGAAGUGAGAGAGCGUAAAUCUGGCGUUAAGGCGGAGCCAACACCAGUGUUACAGGGCGGGGUUAUGUAAGCACCGCAGGGCAUAUUGGGCAUACCUGUUGUAGCACUACCUUGGGCCAACGCUUAGUCGAUCGCUGGACAAAAACAUAGCUGUCAAAGGGUAGCAUAGAGAAGGAAGAAAAAAGGUAAACAAGAAAAAGUGAGUCGAGAGGAUUAAAGUUAUUUGCAAGUGAAAAUUACUAAUAAUUUCAGUGGAUUGAAACAGUUUAUUGGCAGUGCAUUAAAGUUACAUUGCCCUACAGGUGAAUUACAUUCAGCCGCGUGCAAUUCGUCAGUGCCUGAAAGGAAAUACUUACCGUAGGAUUGGUGUAGAUUGAGCCCGUUAUCUGUGAGUAAAAAAGUAAACAAAACAGGAAAAUUAAGCUGUUAACUUAUAUUACUGAUUUGAACAUAGGAGUCGGUGUCGUAAGUCGAGGAAGGUUGAGACAUCAGGAUUAAUUUGGAGAGAAACUAUUCAUGUAAGCUGAAUUCAUUUGUAUACCACUAUAAAUAGAUAUAACAAGAAUAAUAAUUACAGUUUUAAGCUGCGCGAAUAUAUAAAAGCUAUAAAAAAGGUUUGUGAUUAAUCCGAACAAUAACAAAUUACGAAACAUUUCCAGGACACGUGUUAUAAUCUAAUAUUAUUAAUUAGUUAAAGAAUUUGCGUUUUGACGUCGUCUUAUCAGAAUCCGAUACUAACUUAGUGACAGGACUAAGCUAGCGCCGGAUUGCGCUGCGUGAUGCCCCACAAGAAAAGGACCGAUGAAAUUUAAUGCACUAUGCUAUAUUUAUCAUUAGUGGAGAAAAAAUUAAGUAGAAGAGUUGUUUUAUACUACAUUUACGCGAUAAAGGCACAAAACCUACAUAUAAUUUUCUUUUCUAAGCUAAUACUAUAUAAAAAUAGUGAUGAUAAUAUUUCGUCAGCUCCUUGGUUUAUUUUAGGCUGUUGAUAUUGGGAUACUGUUAAAUUAAAAUAAUUUGUUUUUUAAACAGGGCUAUCAUAAUAAUCAUAAUAAAUUAUCAUUAGGGCUCAAGUCAUAAAGUAGUUUAUAUACAUCAUAACAUCCAAAACUAUGAGUGUGUCACAAAUCCCCGACUAUGUACGGGGAACGUGCCAUUUGAGCCAAUAUGUUCUGAUUCCUGAUGAGUGUGUCAUGUAAUCCUUGAUUUUAUGACGCAAUCUUUUAAUUGCUGAUUAUUGUUGUCACUUAAAAUAGCUAUAUAAUUGUACCACCUCUACAUAACGAUUGACACAAUUAUGAUGCCAAUUGGUAGAAAAUUACUGUCCUACAAGUUUAUUCAUGCCGUUAUAAUUGUCAGUGCGCACAUACGUGUCAACCAGAAUGUCCAGUCUUGUCAUAAAGAUAAUUAAAACCGAUCGCGCGAGAAUAGUUUCUAACCAAUCAUAUGAUUUAUCGAACGAUUACUACCGUUAUAUAUAUGCUUGUAGAACCUUAAACCAUAUUUUUCACAUAGUUUCAACACAUCGACACCCUUUGAGCAAUCAAUAUAGCGGUUUUAUGAUUAUAGCACUCAGCGCAUAUGUCAACCUACCGCUGCGGUGUAACCUAGCUGUACUCGACGAAUGGAUAAACGUGCCGUGACAUACUCAGUUCAAAUCUAAUUUAUCUUUAUGGUAAAACGAUUAUCGUGUCCCAAGACACGCCGGGUAUGAAGCGUCAAUUUUGUUGACACUCUCGGCAGAUCAUUUUCAUAUAUUUUAUCAUCGAGCUUUUCUUCCGAGCGAUUCGAUGCAGAUGCUUGGUAUGUACCUAAGUAGUUAGCUUUCGGCCACUAAUACCUUCCGGUAGCACACCUAUGUAUAACGAACUCCGAGCUAGAUUCGAUUGCCAAGUUCACCUUUUUUUGCGCUGAACAAACAUGUUGCGGUAAGCAUAUUGCUAUAACGACAAGUGCUUACAGUUAAAAGUAAAAUAAAAAAACUGGCUCUCGAUCCUACCUUCGCCGAUCGUCAGUACAGUGGACAAAGUCCUCGGUUAAUGCAUGGGGAAGUCGUGUGAACUAACAUUGGCAUUGAUCUGAUUCAUAUAGGUUCGCAAACUGGAUGCGGGGAACUGGAAAUUACGAUACAGAUGGACAUUUCAGAUCGAAUGUUCAAAUAAGAAAGGGUUACUAAGUGAACAUUCCAGUUUGGCGAAGUUUGCUUGAUGUGUUCUUGAGAGUGGUUGGGCAUUGCCGGCGGUCCAGCAGCAGGAGAACAACCUAAAUGCAAGCCUCCUGUUCGAACUUCGUAGCUGAUCGGCGUAACACGAGGCUGAAUAGUUAAAUGGGCGUUAAUAGGCAAAGUUCCAGCACACGAUGCCAAGGAGACUAGAUGCUCAGAGCUUGCUAUUGGGUUAGAAUGGCUAUUUUGUGAAGUAACUAGUUUCCUGGUAGCACAAAGGUGGGAUUACUCAAUUCAUAUUGACAACACCUCGUCAGGUUGCUCGUAGGCUUGGUCCAGUCGAUAUUAGCCCAUACGUUCAAGGUCUAAAACUUUUAUGAGCACUUGAACGGAUGUGUGCCGAUCACCGUAUGUAAAUAUUUUCUUUAUAAUGAAAUCAGUUACAUUACCACAAAUGCUUAAUUGAUAAUUAAUAACGUGAUGUUUAAUUAGUGAUAAUGUUAGCAACGUUAGAAAAAAUAUGGUAGUUUUUCGAAAUGGUGUAAGAAUAUCUCCGGUAUAGCUUCACAAAUUUUAUGGUUAUCCGAAUCUGACUUAAACAUUUUCAGUUGAGCUUUUAGAACAAAGCACAUUUUUCGUAUUCAAUAUCAAAAUAUUUCCUAUGAUUCGUGGAUUUUUUUUUGAAUCCCAAAGUUCGUUAAUUUUUUAUUUCCGGAAUUCAGAUUUUAUUUUAGCGGAUGGAAAUUUAUUUUUUCAAGGUAACAAUGCUCUGAUACAAUCUGUAAAACUGGCGUGGUACAAAAUUUCACACCGAUCAUUUUAAACAUCGCAUGAAGCCUGCACAGUUGCCAAGCCUAAAUAAUAUCGAGCUACUGCACAGUGCACUUUUGGUACACAUAAAAAAAAAAUUUCGGUUGAAAUUACUAUUUUAGAGGGGUAAAUUAAUUACAUUGUACCCACAAUUUUCAGCUGAUAAUAUUAUGAUUUCGCUGCAACCACGUAAACAAUUAUUUCUACCAUAUUAAUUUAUCUUUGGUUUCUGUAGUUUUCACUAUGUUUGUAGUAUAUUCAUCUCACCGUAUGGUAUUCGUUUUUAUUAUGAAAGUAGUCAAGUUGAGAACUAAUAUUCUCCCGUGAUGAUUUAAGUUCAUAGUAAAUUUAACCAUACACGAUAUACUUUUUACUGUAAGAUUUUGCUACAUACCUAACAAAUAUAAUGUCACAAAUAAGUGCGUUGUUCUGCUAAUAGUUAUGAAUGCAUUGAGGGGUCCAGUUAUUUAGAAAAUAUACUUUAUUUACGAGUACUUACGGAUGACUAUGAUGAAGUUUUAGCUCAAAUUCCAGACAGAAUUCAACUAGUCUGGUUUAUGGUCAUCCUAAAAGAAUUAAUUACAUCGACAGUUUGGCAUACCACUGUUAAAAUUUCAUUUUAAACUUACCACUAGAUUUUCCAACAAUGUUUUCCGGACAUGUGAUUGUGUAUGUUAAAUUAUAUUUAUUUUGCAGAACAUUUGUACUCACAAUAAAAUAAGCAAUGCAAAUGAGCUUGUUGCGACGAAAAACAAAAACAAGUUAAUUGGAUCGAAAUGGCGCGCGUCAACAUUCCCUUGACACGUAGAAAUGCUAUGUUUCUAGUACAUUUAAACGGAAAUCAUAGUCAGCUGAACUUUGUCGGUACAUUACAUUUAAUUUUACCAUAAUCAUGGUAAAAUUUGACCUUAUAACAAGAAAAUGACGGGACGAUAACAACACGCAUAAUAAAUAUUACCGGAAAUGAAGUGAAUUUUAACACAAAAGUAUAGUUGGUUUAAAUAACACUAGUUUACAAAUUUUGGGUUAAUUGCAUGAAGUGAUGACUAUGACUAUGAUCUACCACCUACUGUAGCAAGGCACAACCGGUAGCAUGGACUGACCUUCCUGCAUAAUUUGUUCAAGUUUUACAUUCUGGAUAUCUUCAGCAUAUUAUUGUAUGAAGGGCCAAAAUAGGGUGGGCUAACCCGUAAGCUUAAGCGCCUUUUGCGGGAUUGUUGAGAGUCUCCUUCCAAUGACAUCAUCAUAUAUCCAAACGCAAAACAAGCCAUUAUACUGGAUGUUGUCCCAGUGAGUGGGGAGAAGAGCCCGCCUCCAAUCUACGAGAUGUUAAUAAUAGGAAGUUGACAGUUCCACUCUCCCUAUCCACCAUCGUUUCAAUCAGGUGCCCUGGUGGUCCCACCCGAUCCCAAGGUAUCAAAUCAGAUCAAUAUAUGUUUUCUAUAUAACUACUACAAUGUGUCUAUUUGCAAAUAUUUGCUACUCUAUUACUACAGUUUAGUGAAAAAAGUCAGCUACAACUACGCAUGCAUCAUAUUCUACUUUUGUUAAUAAUUUUAAUGUAAGAGGAAAGCGUGUACUAUCCAUAGAGUUCAGUAAGAGAAAAGACAGCAUUAGUUAUUACAUCCACAUAAACUUAGGUUAACAUAAAUAUAAAGGAUAUGCCAACCUGUUUGAAGUGUUUCGUGACAAGCAAAUUGGUUAAAGUCGUUCAUCCUGUAGAGAAGUACAACACUUUUUGCCGUAACCUAUCUCAUCACGAAAGUGAUACUGAAUACCAAAAGUAUCGAUUUUCAUGACAGUCCAAUCCGUUUCGGGAAAGCGUCGUGUAUCAUAUUUGGCAAGCCCUCGACUCCUUUGGAUUACCUAACUUCUAUAAUAUACUGGAAUUCGUUGAAUAGAUUAUAUAACGAUAGAUUAAAUGAUUGAAUGAUAGUUAAAAUUACGGUUAUUGACACUUGAUUAUUUACAGAAACUAAAAACAAAAUUAUCUACCAAGAUAUUUAUUAUAGGUAUACUAGAUAAAAUUCAAUGCAGAUGAAUAUAGUAAGUAAAAUUCAAUGCCACGGGCCUGCGUAAAAUAAUAUUAUACACUUACCCAUACCUCUCAGUCUCAGUUGCUUCGGUUGUUGUUUUCAUUCGUUUUUAUUUUAUUUUAUUUUUUAUUUUAUUUAUUUAUUUUUUUUGCAUUUUUAUUUAUUUAUUUUUUUAUAUUUUAUUAUUAUUAUUAUAAUUAUAAUUAUUAUUAUUGUUUUAUUUCUUCAUGCUCUUCCAAUAUCUAUAUUUAUUUACCCCUACCUUGCCCUCAUCUGAUUCUCCUUCCGAAAUUUCACUUGCUUCGUUUUGAUAUAUUUGUUCUGCUUUUCUUUUAAGCCUUUUCCUUAUCCUUUGCCAGAACAUUCCAAUUUAUCUCAUUCAUGUCAUCUAGUUUAUCUAAAUCUUGUAUCAGGGCGUUUUCCCAUGUAUAACUUGGCCUGCCUUCUUUUUUCUUUCUACAUCUUAAUGCGUAUGCAAGUCUAAGCGGAUGGCCCUUUUCUCUGCGUUUGAUGUGACCAAAAUAGCUGAUGCGCCCCACUCUCGCCCUCCUAUUGAUAGUUCUACCAUCUAGUAAUACUCUAGCAUUAAAUGUUAUUUCGGGGGACUUUGUACAAUUAAUAAACAUGUUUCUUAAUAUCAUUUUUUCAUAGUUAGCUAACGAUACUCUAUUUCGUUUUGUGAGUACAGCUACCUUGAUCCCAUACAAAAGCGAGGGUGCCAAUACAGUAUUAUAGAUCAUCUUGCCUAACUCCCAACUUGGAUUAAUUUUUUUGCAGAACUCAACAAUAAACCUGGAUGAUUUCAAGGUAUUUUGACAUCGUUGCCUAAUUGUCAUUUUCCUGUUCAGAGUUGACGUCAUACAUGCUCUUAAAUAUUUCAAAUGCUGGCAUACCUUGAAUAAUUUUCCGUUCAGUGCUAUAUGUGUGGGUAAUUCGGCUUUAUCAUUUGGCAACCGAACCAAAACUUGACUCUUGUCACAGUUUAUUUCCAACCCUACUUCUUUAAGCUUUUCCUCUAAUAUUUUUAGUAUCUUCUCAAUUUCCUCCUUGUUCAGCGCAAUCAACAGUAUAUCAUCGGCGAAUACCAGUAUUAGUGGAAGCAGCAGGCAUCCCACCUCCAUUAGUUUGAUCUCGGGUAUAUCUGCCACUAGUUUUAUUAGUAUGUCUUGCAUAAUAAGAUUAAAAAGCAUUGGUGACAGCGGGCAUCCCUGUUUAAUCCCCUUUCCUCUUUUAACCUCGCUUGACAGUUCAUUUUCCCAUAGCACCCUGGUUAAUUCUCCAUUUAUACAUAAAAGCACUCUAUCCACUAACCGGGAAGGUACUUUUAACCUUAAUAGAAUAUCUCUAAUACUUUGUAAUUUAACAGUAUCAAAUGCCUUUCUGAUAUCUAAUGCUAGUAUGUAUAGGUUUUGCCAGCGUUCCAGUUUUCCUCCAUUACCCGUCUUGCAACAAAUAUAUGAUCGUCUGUUGACCUGUUUGUCGUGAAGGCUGCUUGAUGUAGUCCUGGUUCUCCAGUAAAUUUCUUUAGCUGGUUUGCAAUCCAUUUUGCGUAAAUCUUAUAUGCUGUGUUGCAGAGGGAGAUUCUCCUGAAGUCAUCUGCAUUCGCUGCGCCGGAUUUCUUUGGUAUUGGUAUUUGAGUUGUUUUAUACCAUUCGUUGGGCAUUUUGUUAUUUAUGUAAACAUUUUGAAGAAUUUCCACAAGUGAUUUUAUUGUCUCAUCGUCUGCGCAUUUAAUGUAUUCUACAUAUAUCCUGUCCGAUCCAGGUGCUCUUCCGUUGCUCGAUGUUUGGAUGAUUUCGUUAAUUUCUUCAAAGGUGGGCGGAUUUAGUAACGGUACAAAAUCAUGAUUUUCGCAGAAUUCGACUUCUAGUCCUUCACACGAAUGUAAAAUAUCGUCCCAUGUUUUUGCGCUGAUUUUCGCAAAUUUUCGUUUCCUUGUGCUACCGAAUCCUUUCAAGUAACUGUAUGUUUUCCUUAUGCGGGUUCCUACAUCAAAAUCAUUCAAGUUUUGGAAAAACUUGAUCAUUUCCUUUUCUUUAUUAUCCUUGACCGCCUUGGAGAAUUCUUGUCUUCGGUUGUUGACCGUGAAUUUAAAAUUUUGCAUAUCAGGAUGUUUAAUCGAAACCUUAAUAGCGGACUUUAAUCGAUUUAGUGCCCUCUUUCGUUUAGGUGUGCUUGGUAUUAUGGAUUCUUUUAAGGUAGCAUGUGCAGCUUUCUUUAUUCUACUGGUUAAUUCCGCGUAGCACUUCUCGACUGAAUUUAUGGAUGUUUUAGUUUGGAUGGUUAAGCUUUUCAAUUUUUCCUGGUAUCGUUUCUUUAUUUGUAUAUCCUUUUGGGUUAAUUGCAUGAAGUUAAGAAAAAAAAGUGUUUUCUAAGUCAAUUUUGGGUCGCUGAUCGCGAAAAUCAUAUUCAUUUUCUUUUUCAAAGAACCGUUUUUGUGAUUUUUUAAAAAAGGUGUUUUUGAGCACUUUUUGCAGUUUUUGGCCAAUAUCUCAGGAAUGAAUCUUCCGAUUAACACAAACGACUCAACAAGGUAUUGAUGUGCCCAUUCCAAAAAUGUAUAACAUGUUAGGAUAAAAUAUCAACAAUUUAGGGUUAAGAG